UAGGGAAUCUUCCGCAAUGGGCGAAAGCCUGACGGAGCAACGCCGCGUGCGUGAUGAAGGUCUUCGGAUCGUAAAACUCUGUUAUUAGGGAAGAACAAAUGUGUAAGUAACUAUGCACGUCUUGACGGUACCUAAUCAGAAAGCCACGGCUAACUACGUGCCAGCAGCCGCGGUAAUACGUAGGUGGCAAGCGUUAUCCGGAAUUAUUGGGCGUAAAGCGCGCGUAGGCGGUUUUUUAAGUCUGAUGUGAAAGCCCACGGCUCAACCGUGGAAGGUCAUUGGAAACUGGAAAACUUGAGUGCAGAAGAGGAAAGUGGAAUUCCAUGUGUAGCGGUGAAAUGCGCAGAGAUAUGGAGGAACACCAGUGGCGAAGGCGACUUUCUUGUCUGUAACUGACGCUGAUGUGCGAAAGCGUGGGGAUCAAACAGGA
RNAcentral lists this ribosomal RNA (430 nucleotides) under Actinomycetes bacterium. RNAcentral's name for it is "Actinobacteria bacterium partial 16S ribosomal RNA". It matches the Rfam family "Bacterial small subunit ribosomal RNA", at positions 355 to 777 of the family's 1533-position model. The record is from RNAcentral. Lineage: Bacteria; Bacillati; Actinomycetota; Actinomycetes.